Molecule: ribosomal RNA, 486 nt
Filed under: uncultured bacterium
Lineage: Bacteria
Description: partial 16S ribosomal RNA
Rfam family: Bacterial small subunit ribosomal RNA
Source: RNAcentral
AUUGAACGCUGGCGGCAUGCCUUACACAUGCAAGUCGAACGGCAGCACGGGUGCUUGCACCUGGUGGCGAGUGGCGAACGGGUGAGUAAUACAUCGGAACAUGUCCUGUAGUGGGGGAAAGCCGGGGAAAAGCGGGUUAAAUACGGCAAACGAUUAAGGGAGAAAAGGGGGGGCCUUCGGGCCCCCGGCCUAAGGGGUUGCCGGAUGGCGGAUUAGCUAGUGGGUGGGGUAAAGGCCUACCAAGGCGACGAUCAGUAGCUGGUCUGAGAGGACGACCAGCCACACUGGGACUGAGACACGGCCCAGACUCCUACGGGAGGCAGCAGUGGGGAAUUUUGGACAAUGGGCGAAAGCCUGAUCCAGCAAUGCCGCGUGUGUGAAGAAGGCCUUCGGGUUGUAAAGCACUUUUGUCCGGAAAGAAAUCCUUGGCCCUAAUACGGUCGGGGGAUGACGGUACCGGAAGAAUAAGCACCGGCUAACUACGUG